CCGAGUUAUCAACUCCCAAACCCCUGUGAACAUACCUGAACGUUGCUUCGGCGGGGCCGCCCCGGCGCCCACGGCCCGGAACCAGGCGCCCGCCGGAGGACCCAAACUCUUGUCUGAUCCAUAGCGGCAUAUUCUGAGUCUCACAAGAAAAAUGAAUCAAAACUUUCAACAACGGAUCUCUUGGCUCUGGCAUCGAUGAAGAACGCAGCGAAAUGCGAUAAGUAAUGUGAAUUGCAGAAUUCAGUGAAUCAUCGAAUCUUUGAACGCACAUUGCGCCCGCCAGCAUUCUGGCGGGCAUGCCUGUUCGAGCGUCAUUUCAACCCUCAAGCCCCAGCGGGCUUGGUGUUGGGGACCGGCCCCGGCCGCCCCCGAAAUGCAGUGGCGACCUCGCCGCAGCCUCCCCUGCGCAGUAGCACAACCUCGCACCGGAGCGCGGAGACGGUCACGCCGUAAAACGCCCAACUUCUCAGAGUU
This 474-nucleotide unclassified non-coding RNA is filed under the name Tolypocladium inegoense. RNAcentral describes it as "partial contains ITS1, 5.8S rRNA and ITS2". The stretch from base 161 to 314 matches the Rfam family "5.8S ribosomal RNA". Lineage: Eukaryota; Fungi; Ascomycota; Sordariomycetes; Hypocreales; Ophiocordycipitaceae. The record is from RNAcentral.